GACCUACUGCUUUUGAUGAUAUUCAGGAAACAUUAUGAAAUCAUUAACACUUUUUGGAGUUAUCUUUAUCUGUUUAGCUCUCUUUAGAGCUGCUUUUGCACAAGAAGAUGAUGUGGAAUCGGAUGAGUAUAUUAAUCAAGAAAAACGAUUUUGGGCCCCUUUAGCUAGAUGGGCUGGAGGACAAGCUGCAAAGUAUGGAUUUAACAAAUGGAAAAAGCACCAAGGACAUCACAAAGGCUGAAAACAAAAUGAAUAAAGCAUAAAGUCGAAAAGUUUCUGUGAUAUACUGUAUUUUAAUGUUCAUGUGACCUAACAAAUCAAUACUUUGAUGAUAAUU
RNAcentral lists this long non-coding RNA (337 nucleotides) under Androctonus crassicauda. The record is from RNAcentral. Lineage: Eukaryota; Metazoa; Arthropoda; Arachnida; Scorpiones; Buthidae.